RNAcentral lists this ribosomal RNA (256 nucleotides) under uncultured bacterium. Its description in RNAcentral is "partial 16S ribosomal RNA". It matches the Rfam family "Bacterial small subunit ribosomal RNA", at positions 793 to 1055 of the family's 1533-position model. The record is from RNAcentral.
GUCCACGCCGUAAACGAUGGAUACUAGCUGUUGGGAGCAAUUUCAGUGGCUAAGCGAAAGUGAUAAGUAUCCCACCUGGGGAGUACGUUCGCAAGAAUGAAACUCAAAGGAAUUGACGGGGGCCCCGCACAAGCGGUGGAGCAUGUGGUUUAAUUCGAUGAUACGCGAGGAACCUUACCAAGGCUUAAAUGGGAAACGACAGAUUUGGAAACAGAUUUUUCUUCGGACGUUUUUCAAGGUGCUGCAUGGUUGUCGU